Non-coding RNA from Ictidomys tridecemlineatus (thirteen-lined ground squirrel), 968 nucleotides. NCBI's taxonomy places the organism in Eukaryota, Metazoa, Chordata, Mammalia, Rodentia, Sciuridae. The record is from RefSeq and is a predicted model, not a curated record.
UCCCAGCGGGCGGUGACGUUUUCUGGCUCUGAGCAGCUCCUGGUUUUCUUAGGUAGAGGGUACAGUUUUGUUUCCUCCUUUGGCUUCCUCGAGUCCUAAGUUUUGUUGCGAGAUUCUCUUCUUCCUGUGCUCCCAGUUUGGGUCUCGCCUGGCAGAAGGUUUCUAGGAAUUUGACAAAUCAUCCCUGAGCGUUGUACACAGCUGUUAAUCUAUUUCCAAUCUCGGGCCAGUCCCUGCAAAUCCAAUGAAUUGAGAAGCCGAGUAGGAAUUCCAUUUACCUGGUGUCAAUUUCCAAAAGUAGGGACCUUUGGAACUUAACUCCAAAGAAUCCCGUCUCUCGUGGUCCCCAGUGCCUGCCAUAUGAUGCUUGAGGUGAUGAUUUUUCCUUCACCAUGCCCUUCUGCCAUGAUGUUUUUGCCUUAGAACCAACUGACCAUGGACUGAAACCUCAAAACUCUGAGCCAAAAUGAAUCUUUCCUUCUGUAAGUUGAUUUUCUCAACUAAUUUUGUCACAGCAAUAGAAUACCUACUAACAAACUCAGUCAUCCUGGGGUGUGGUACAGAGCUAUUAGAAAUUGCAUUAGUGUUUUGUUCAAGUCCCUGGAGGCUAGUUGAGGAAGGACUCAGAAGAACCUGGCUGGAAUUUGAUCAAGGAGAGACUCUUUGUCACACUAUGUACUUGCAAAUUACUAUAUACAAAGGGCUAUAUUUUAAUUACCCUAAAGUUUGAAUUAUUGUAUUCGUUGGAGAAGAAUGGAGUUCCUGGAAUAUCUUAAUCAUACUCUUUAUUUAUUGUAUGUUUAUAGACACAUCAUAUGUCAUAAACGUGAAAAUCCAAUGCUAUUGGCCAAACUGUUUCAUGGUACCUUCCCAAUAAGCUUUUUUUUUGUUGUUUGACAUUCAGAUUGAAGCAUAUUAUGUAGGAGGUAAUGUUCAAUUCCUCAAAUAAAACAAUCUGUAUAACCUAA